UUUUUUAUUGUAUUUCCAACACUUUUUUUUUUCCACCGUACAGCAUGGGGACCCAGUUACACACACAUGUAUACAUAAUCUUUUCUCCCAUUGUUGUGCUGUGUUGUAAGUAUCUAGACAUAGUUCUCAAUGCUACACAGCAGGAUCUCAUUGUUAAUCCAUUCCAAGAGCAUAGUUUGUACCCAUUAACCUCAAGCUUCCAAUCCCUCCCACUCUUCCCCAAGAGGGCAAGACUUGUGUUGCCCUCUACACUUUGCAUUCUUUCUAUCUUUGAUCCUCCUUAGGGAAAGGAUUCAGGCCAGAUCUAAAUAAAAUGAACAUGUUGAAACUUCCUUUCCAAGACUUCCUAUUGCCUCCUGCAUGCUCCUCCCCCAUUUGUUCCUCCCUCUUCUUUUUCCCCUUCUCCCCCAUCUAAUUUCUUCUUCAUUACUCAGUUCUGGCUUUGGCUCUUCCUAGAAAACUUCACUGACAGUCCCGGCCUGCUGAGAUGCCCUCCUGUGUGUUAACAAAGCAUCCUAAGCUUACAUUUCCAGCAACACUAAUCAGACUCACAAUUAAUAUGAUGGCUUCAUUUGUAAAAAAUUGGGGAGCUAUAUUCCCAUAAAAAAAUGGCCUCUGGAAUCAGCUUGACAUGACUGCUGACAACACUGAUACCAUUUUACUAGAGAGCCUUCAGCCUGGUCCACUUGUUUUCCUCAAUUAUCUCCUCUAUCAGGAACACUAUUUCCCACUCUCCACAGUGUAUUUGUAAUGCUUAGUCUUGCUAAUAUCCUUUUUUUUUUUAAAAUAGAAAACCAGAACCUUCCUGAUAUACAGGAAAACUGCACUGAAGACUUACUAAAGCCUGUACAGAAGAAAAUAAAAGAACAAUAGAGGAAAGAAAAUUAUCUUGUGGGGUGUUUUAGGCAUAUACUUAUCUAAAGGAUGGAAUGAAAGAGAUUUUUUAAAAUUUUGUUUUAUAGUUUUUUUUGUGCUCACUGUGACUCAUAUUUCCCUUUUGAAUUCACUGAUAAUUGUGAAAUAUAUUCUCAAUCCUGCCACAGUAAAACACACAAAUGGGAGGAAACAUUUACAUAAGCUUACUAGAAGGAUUCUGCUAAUUCAAGUCAUGUGGAAUCACAUGAUGAAUUCAUUCCUAACUAUUCUAAUAUCGCAUAAUAAAAUACACCUGUAAUAGAAGUUAAAAUAUUUAUAAUAAUAUAUACAUUGCAAGAAACCCUUGACAUUUCCCAUAAACAAAAGAUACACAUUUGCCACAAUUUUAACAAGUGGAUGUUUAAACCAUCUAUUUCCACACAUAUGCUAAUUAUUGUGCUAUGAAUAGCCAAUAAUUGAUUAAAAGGCAUUUUUCGGAUAUUAAAUCUGUGCAAAUACAUGAUCAUCCAAAGAAUUUAAAAAACCCAAUAGCCAAAGACGGAGACAGGAAAAAACAUCAUGCUUCAACUACUUUAAUAAAUGAACUAAAGAUACAUAUUUCCUAUGAAACACUAAAACAAAAUGUGUUUUUAUUACCUUUCAUGAGCUGGUGGCUAAGAUUGUUGAAAUCUAAUAUGAGCAAGCUGCCUUUAAUUCACAAAUGUGGGGGCCCUUCUGCUUAUUGAAAUGCUGUCAAGAAAGAUAAGUCUGUGAACGCAUGUAGUACCAAAAGUGAGACAGUCUUAAAAUUUACAAAGUAACUAUAAAAAUAUGGAGUAGUACCAAAAACAAACAUCUAUAUCAUCUAUGGAAAAAUAUUACUGAGCACUUUUAGUCUUUUCUUUGACAUGUUGAAGUAUUUUAGGUUGACCCAGCUGUAAGAUUAGGGGGGAAGGAGGGAAGAAACACUUCUUUAAGGAACACUUACUAUGCUAAACAUUAUCACACCGAAGGCCUAUCUAUCUAUCUAUCACCUAUUUAGCAACCUAUUUAUUUGUCCGUCUAUACAUCUAUCUACACUCUCUCAUCUGUAAGUAAGGUGUUCUUUCCCCAAUAUUACACAUAAAAACAGCAGAGAAAGUCCAUCAUAGCUUGCCCAAGGCCACCACAGCAAAUUGAAAACUUGAACCCACAUCAGUUGAUUCCCAGGCUAAUACCACUUAAGGGAUUUUCUUUUGUGAUGAUGGCUUUAUUGGGGGCAAUGAGCACAUAGCUAUCACAAGGGUCUUCCUAGGUACUGUCAUCUCUAAUAGACUAUAGGUUAUUAAUUGCAGGAGUUGUAAACUAUUUAUUAAAUCCCUUAUUCAC
RNAcentral lists this long non-coding RNA (2223 nucleotides) under Sus scrofa (pig). RNAcentral's name for it is "lncRNA (ENSSSCG00065064653.1)". Lineage: Eukaryota; Metazoa; Chordata; Mammalia; Artiodactyla; Suidae. The record is from RNAcentral.